This 2756-nucleotide long non-coding RNA is filed under the name Gallus gallus (chicken). RNAcentral describes it as "lncRNA (ENSGALG00010019840.1)". Lineage: Eukaryota; Metazoa; Chordata; Aves; Galliformes; Phasianidae. The record is from RNAcentral.
UUUCGGGAUAAAUGGGGGAUUUUCGAAGAGAAAAUGGGUGAUUUUCAGGGUUUUUUGGGGGAAUUUUGAAGAGAAAAUGGGUGAUUUUUACUUAAAUGGUACCUUUUUGAAGAGAAAAUUGUUGCUUUUUACAAAAAUGUAAGAUUUUUGAAGAGAAAAUGGGAUAUUUUUGGCUUAAAUGGGGCCUUUUUGAAGCGAAAAUGUUCGGUUUACGCUUUAGAUGGUGUAUUUUCGAGGAGAAAAUGCGUGAUUUUCGAGUUAAAUGGGGGAUUUACUAACAGAAAAUGGGUUACUUUCAGGUUAAAUUCGGGAUUUUCGAAGAGGAAAUGCGUGAUUUUCGCUUAAAUGAAUUUUUGAAAUGAAAAUGCUUUAUUUUCACUUAAGUGGGGGGUUUUCGCAGAGCAAAUGGGUGAUUUUUGGGUUAGAUGGGGGAUUUUUGAAGAGCAAAUGGGUGAUGUUCGGGAUAAAUGUGGGAUUUUCGAAAAGAAAAUUGGUUAUUUUUGAGUUAAAUUGAGGGUUUUUGUUAAUAUAAUGCGUGAUUUUUUUGUUAAAUGGGUGAUUUUCGAUGAGAAUUUGCGUGAUUUUAGCUUAAAUGUGGGAUUUUCGAAGAGAAAAUGGGUGAUUUUUGCUUAUAUUGGGCAUUUUCGAAGAGAAAAUGGGUGAUUUUCGCUUAAAUGCGUGAUUUUUUAGCUAAAUGUUGGAUUUUUGAAGAGAAAAUGCAUGAUUUACCCUUAAAUGGGGGAUUUUCGAGGAGAAAAUGCGUGAUAUUUGCUUAAAUGGGGCAUUUUCGAAGAGAAAAUGCGUGAUUUUUGCUUAAAUGCAUGAUUUUUUUGUUAAAUGGGGGAUUUUUGAGGAGAAAAUGCAUGAUUUACCCUUAAAUGGGGGAUUUUCAAGGAGAAAAUGCGUGAUUUUCCAAAUAAUUGGAGAUUUUUGAAGGGAAAAUGGGUGAUUUUCGGAUUAAAUGGGGGAAUUUUGAAGAGAAAAUGGGUGAUUUUCGGGUUAAAUGGGGGAUUUUUGAAGAGAAAACGGGUGAUUUUUGCUUACAUGUCUGAUUUUUUAGCUAAAUGUUGGAUUUUCGAAGAGAAAAUGCAUGAUUUACCCUUAAAUGGGGGGAUUUUCGUGGAGAAAAUGGGUGAUUUUUGGGUUAAAUGGGGCAUUUUUGAAGAGAAAAUGGGUGAUUUUCGAGAUAAAUCAAGGAUUUUUGAAGAGAAAAUGCAUGAUUUACCCUUAAAUGUUGGAUUUUCAAGGUGAAAGUGCGUGAUUUUCAAAAUAAAUGAGUGAUUUUUGAAGGGAAAAUGGUUGAUUUUUGGGUUAAAUGGGGGAUUUUGAAGAGAAAAUGGGUGAUUUUCGGGUUAAAUGGGGGAUUUUCGAAGAGAAAGUGGGUGAUUAUCGAGAUAAAUCAAGGAUUUUUGAAAAGAACAUGCAUGAUUUACCCUUAAAUGGGGGAUUUUCUAGGAGAAAAUGCGUGAUUUUCAACAUAAAUGCACGAUUUUUGAAGGGAAAAUUGGCGAUUUUUGGUUUUAAUUGGGGAGUUUUGAAGAGAAAAAGGGCGAUUUUCAUUUAAAUGGGCGAUUUUCGAAGAGUAGAUUUGUGAUUUUCGUUUAAAUGGGGGAUUUUCAAAGGGAAAAUGCAUGAUUUACGGGUUAAAUUGGGGAUUUUUGAAGAGAUAAUUCGUGAUUUAAAUUUAAAUGGGGGAUUUCCGAAGAGAAAAUGCCAGAUUUUUGAGUUAAAUGGGGGGAUUUUCCAAGCGAAAAUUUGUGUUUUUCACGUUAAAUUGGGGAUUUUGGGAUUUAAAAUGUGUGAUUUUCGCUUUAAGUGGGUGAUUAAGUGGGUGAUAAGGAGAAAAAUGGUCAUUUUUGGGUUAAAUGGGGAAUUUUUGAAGAGAAAAUCGGCAAUUUUCGCUUAAAUAGGGGAUUUUCAAAGCGCAAAUGUGUGUCUUUCAGAAUAAAUUUGGGAUUUUCAAAUCAAAAAUGGAUGGUUUUCCCUUAAAUUUGGAUUUUCAAAGGGAAAAUGCAUGAUUUUCGGGUUAUAUGGGGGAUUUUCGAAGACAAAAUACGUGUUUUUCGGGUUAAAUGGGUAUUUUCGAAGAGAAAAUGUGUGAUUUUCGGGUUAAAUGGGAGAUUUUUGAAGAGAGAAGGAGUGAUUUUUGGGUUAAUUGUGGGAUUUUUGAAGAGGAAAUUCAUGACUUUCGGAUUAAAUGGGGUAUUUUCAAAGGGAAAAUGCAUGAUUUCCCGUUUAAAUGUUGGAUUUUCAAAGAGAAAUUGGGUGAUUUUCGGGUUAAAUUGGGGAUUUUCAAAGGGAAAAUGCAUUUUUUUUCGGGUUAAAUGGGGCUUUUACGUAGAGAAAAUGCAUGUUUUUCAAGUUAAAUGGGGGAUUGUCGAAGAGAAGAUUUGUUUUUUUUUAGGGGGGUUAAAUAAGGGAUUUUUGUAGAGAAAAUUCUUGAUUUGGGGGUUGAAUGAGGGAUUUUCGAAGAGAAAAUGCGUGAAUUUCAGGUUAGAUGUGGGAUUUUCAAAGAAAAUAUGCGUCAUUUUCAGGUUAAAUGGGGGAUUGUCGAAGAGAAAAUUUACUAUUUUCAGUUAAAUGUUUUUUUUUUUUUUUUUUUUUUGUAGAGAACAUGCAUAGUUUUCAAUGUUAAAUGGGGGUUUUUCGAAGACGAAAAAAGGAAAGAUGAUAUUUUCAGGUUAAAGUGCAAAUUUUUUGAAGAGGAAUUUCAUGAUUUUCUUGUGAAAUGGGGGAUUUUUGACAGUACAUGUUUC